RNAcentral lists this long non-coding RNA (621 nucleotides) under Nicotiana benthamiana. RNAcentral's name for it is "long non-coding RNA (NBEN_LNC041670)". The record is from RNAcentral. Lineage: Eukaryota; Viridiplantae; Streptophyta; Magnoliopsida; Solanales; Solanaceae.
AUAUUGUUCAUAUGUGUAGAUAUAAGUCCAUAUAUCUAGAUAUAAAUCCAUAUAUCUUACACACAAUAUAUAAUAGGAAAAUUUAGCUUGAAGCUUAAAAGGUCAUCAAGUACUUUAAACCCCAAGAUUUAGAACAAAAGUCAAAAGUCAGAAACCUCGGUAUUGGCAUUGAAGAUUUUCUCAGUGGGAUCAGCUGCAACCGCCGCAACUUUGGAAUAAUCUCGACAGGAGAAAGAACACAAAUGUCUUCCCAAUUCUGAGUUAACCCUAGCAAACUGGGAAAUAGCCUUGCUCCAUCUCGGCAACAUCCUUUUCGCAAUCAAAUCAAACACUACCAGAAACAAUGUUUGGUGUCAUAAUUCCCAAUAAAAACAGAAAAAAUAAAAACGUGCUUGAAAUACAUACAUUAGUUCAAACCACGGAAGAGAUUUUUACAAAUGACCAGAUAGUCAGAUACUAUGCUCUUGAGCUGUUGGAGCUGUGUUACGAUCGUUGAUUUUCAGAGGUUUAGGAAGGUAUUAUUAAACCCUCCUAAAUAAGAAAGAAAUUUGUUAGUUCAAUCGAACGGUCACGAGGAGCUUUUGGAAAGCGUGAGAUCUUAUUUCUGUAGCUAUGAUGAUU